GAGGGGAUAGCUCAGUGGUAGAGUGCCUGCCUAGCAUGCACAAGGUCCUGGGUACAAUCUCCAGUACCUCCA
RNAcentral lists this transfer RNA (72 nucleotides) under Camelus bactrianus (Bactrian camel). It matches the Rfam family "tRNA". From Rfam's summary of the family: Transfer RNA (tRNA) molecules are approximately 80 nucleotides in length. Their secondary structure includes four short double-helical elements and three loops (D, anti-codon, and T loops). Lineage: Eukaryota; Metazoa; Chordata; Mammalia; Artiodactyla; Camelidae. RNAcentral also lists the same sequence under 1 other name. The record is from Rfam by way of RNAcentral.